This 253-nucleotide ribosomal RNA is filed under the name uncultured bacterium. RNAcentral's name for it is "partial 16S ribosomal RNA". It matches the Rfam family "Bacterial small subunit ribosomal RNA", at positions 524 to 776 of the family's 1533-position model. The record is from RNAcentral.
UACGAAGGGGGCUAGCGUUGCUCGGAAUGACUGGGCGUAAAGGGCGCGUAGGCGGAUGGCACAGUCAGAUGUGAAAUUCCCGGGCUUAACCUGGGGGCUGCAUUUGAUACGUGUUGUCUUGAGUUCGGAAGAGGGUCGUGGAAUUCCCAGUGUAGCGGUGAAAUGCGUAGAUACUGGGAGGAACACCAGUGGCGAAGGCGGCUACCUGGACCGGUUCUGACGCUGAUGCGCGAAAGCGUGGGUAGCAAACAGG